This 433-nucleotide ribosomal RNA is filed under the name uncultured bacterium. Its description in RNAcentral is "bacterial SSU rRNA". It matches the Rfam family "Bacterial small subunit ribosomal RNA", at positions 957 to 1391 of the family's 1533-position model. The record is from RNAcentral.
GAACGCGAAGAACCUUACCUGGUCUUGACAUGUACGGAAUCCUCCAGAGACGGAGGAGUGCCUUCGGGAGCCGUAACACAGGUGCUGCAUGGCUGUCGUCAGCUCGUGUCGUGAGAUGUUGGGUUAAGUCCCGCAACGAGCGCAACCCUUGUCAUUAGUUGCCAUCAUUAAGUUGGGCACUCUAAUGAGACUGCCGGUGACAAGCCGGAGGAAGGUGGGGAUGACGUCAAGUCCUCAUGGCCCUUAUGACCAGGGCUUCACACGUCAUACAAUGGUCGGUACAGAGGGUAGCCAAGCCGCGAGGUGGAGCCAAUCUCACAAAACCGAUCGUAGUCCGGAUUGCACUCUGCAACUCGAGUGCAUGAAGUCGGAAUCGCUAGUAAUCGCAGGUCAGCAUACUGCGGUGAAUACGUUCCCGGGUCUUGUACACACC